Molecule: small nucleolar RNA, 182 nt
Filed under: Gouania willdenowi (blunt-snouted clingfish)
Lineage: Eukaryota; Metazoa; Chordata; Actinopteri; Blenniiformes; Gobiesocidae
Description: Small nucleolar RNA SNORA23 (ENSGWIG00000022414.1)
Rfam family: Small nucleolar RNA SNORA23
About the family: The members of this family belong to the H/ACA class of snoRNAs which are thought to guide the sites of modification of uridines to pseudouridines.
Source: Rfam by way of RNAcentral
GGUAGACGGUGUGCACGGUGUCAGUCCGUGUUCAGUGUUGUUGCUGGCCUGUGUUUUUCAGGUUGUGCAGCAGCGCUCACUCCAUUAUCUGCAGCCAUAGAACAACAGGAGAUCAUAGUACUGGCCCUUGAAGUCUUUGUUGACAGCUCACCAUUGGCCAGCCUCCAAACUCUCCAACAUGU